RNAcentral lists this ribosomal RNA (467 nucleotides) under uncultured organism. RNAcentral's name for it is "bacterial SSU rRNA". It matches the Rfam family "Bacterial small subunit ribosomal RNA", at positions 28 to 507 of the family's 1533-position model. The record is from RNAcentral.
GACGAACGCUGGCGGCGUGCCUAACACAUGCAAGUCGAACGGGAUCCAUGGGAGCUUGCUCCCGGAAGAUCUAGUGGCGAACGGGUGAGUAACACGUGAGAAACCUGCCUCGGAGUCGGGGAUAACUCGGGGAAACUCGAGCUAAUACCGGAUACCUUCCUCGGACCGCAUGGUCCGUUGAAGAAAGAUUCAUCGCUCCGAGAUGGUCUCGCGGCCUAUCAGCUAGUUGGUGGGGUAACGGCCCACCAAGGCUACGACGGGUAGCUGGUUUGAGAGAAUGAUCAGCCACACUGGGACUGAGACACGGCCCAGACUCCUACGGGAGGCAGCAGUGGGGAAUCUUGCGCAAUGGGCGAAAGCCUGACGCAGCAACGCCGCGUGCGGGAAGAAGGCCUUUGGGUUGUAAACCGCUUUCAGCAGGGACGAAACUGACGGUACCUGCAGAAGAAGGUCCGGCUAACUACGUG